CCCGUCUCCUAGGAGACCCGGAGACCGCUGGUGAUUUUUUUUUGUCUUCUCUCAUAAACUACAAUUCGUUUUUAUUAGGUUUAGAAGAGUACAGCCGAUACCCUCGAACCUAUCAAUUCCCCUCCAAGAAGCCAUCCUUUAGAAAUAUGAGCCCACGUACAUAAAGAAAUAUGUGCCAGAGUGGCAGCACUAUUUUGCAUUCCCACCAGAGUAGAAGAGUUCCCUUUCUCCACAUCCCUGCCAACAUUUAUCAUCCUUUGGAGUUUUUGAUAACAGCCAUUCUGACAGGCACACAGUGAGAGAGAGAGAGAGGCAGAGACACAGGCAGAGGGAGAAGCAGGCUCCAUACACCGGGAGCCCGACGUGGGAUUCGAUCCCCGGUCUCCAGGAUCACGCCCUGGGCCAAAGGCAGGCGCCAAGCUGCUGCGCCACCCAGGGAUCCCCUGAACUGGAACUUAUAUCAUUUCAAAUUGUUUAGUCCUUGUCUUGGCUUCUAGAACUUCACGGAAUGAGUGGAACUCUUCCAUGCAGUGAUGGUUCUGCAAGGGCUUCAAGACAGUGCUCUUCUCUCUCCCAGCACCCGCCAAAGUAUUUUGAGUAUCUUUAUUUCUCCUAUGGCAUCGUAGAAUUAAAAAUAAUUUUACUUAUUCCUUGCCAGUGAAAACAUCCAGAAUAGUAAGCUUGC
Nyctereutes procyonoides (raccoon dog) is the source of this 685-nucleotide long non-coding RNA. RefSeq lists it as uncharacterized. The record is from RefSeq and is a predicted model, not a curated record. The transcript is spliced from 4 exons. NCBI's taxonomy places the organism in Eukaryota, Metazoa, Chordata, Mammalia, Carnivora, Canidae.